RNAcentral lists this long non-coding RNA (821 nucleotides) under Homo sapiens (human). Its description in RNAcentral is "HSALNT0227791". The record is from RNAcentral. Lineage: Eukaryota; Metazoa; Chordata; Mammalia; Primates; Hominidae.
GAGACAGAGUUUCGCUCUUGUCAUCCACCUGGAGUGCAAUGGCACAAUCUCGGCUCACUGCAACCUCUGCCUCCUGGGUUCAAGUGAUUCUCCUGCCUCAGCCUCCUGAGUAGCUGGGAUUACAGGCACCCACCACCAAACCCGGCUAAUUUUUGUACUUGUAGUAAAGAUGGGGUUUCAUUACGUUGGCCAGGCUGGUCUCGAACUCCUGACCUUGGGUGAUCCACCUGCCGCAGCCUCCCAAAGUGCUGGGAUUACAGGCGUGAGCCACCACGCCUGGCCAUAUUUUUUUUUUUUUUUUGAGACAGGGUCUCGCUCUGUCGCCUAGGGUGGAGUGCAGUGGCGUGAUCUCAGCUCACUGCAACUUCCUCCUCCUGGGUUCAAGCGAUUCUCCUGUCUCAGCCUCUCAAGUAGCUGGGAUUACAGGCGUGUGCCACCAUGCCUGGCUAAGUUUUUGUAUUUUUAGUAGAGACUGGGUUUCACCAUGGUCAGGCUGGUCUCGAACUCCUGACCUCAAGUGAUCUGCCAGCCUCAGCCUCCCAAAGUGCUGGGAAUACUGGCAUGAGAACCACCACGCCUGGCCAGAAAAUAGUUAAAGUAAAGGAACCACUGGUGGAUGCUAAAAUUAUGGAAAGUGUAAGUGGAAAAAGGAUAUUUACAGUCUCGAAUUAACAGACAAAGUGGCCUGGUGUGAUGGCUCAUGCCCGUAAUCCCAGCACUUUGGGAGGCUGAGGCUGAAGUGGGCAGAUCACUUGAGGUCAGGAGUGCGAGACCAGCCUGGCCAGCAUGGCAAAGCCCCGUCUCUACUAAAAAUACAAAAA